RNAcentral lists this ribosomal RNA (547 nucleotides) under uncultured Verrucomicrobiota bacterium. Its description in RNAcentral is "bacterial SSU rRNA". It matches the Rfam family "Bacterial small subunit ribosomal RNA", at positions 494 to 1037 of the family's 1533-position model. The record is from RNAcentral. Lineage: Bacteria; Pseudomonadati; Verrucomicrobiota.
CGGCUUAACUNUUGUGCAGCAGCNNCGGUAAUACAAAGGUCUCAAGCGUUGUUCGGAUUCAUUGGGCGUAAAGGGUGCGUAGCGGCNCGGUAAGUCGGGUGUAAAUCUCGGGGCUCAACUCCGAAACUGCAUUUGAUACUGGCGUGCUUGAGGACUGGAGAGGAGACUGGAAUUUACGGUGUAGCGGUGAAAUGCGUAGAUAUCGUAAGNAAGACCAGUGGCGAAGGCGGGUCUCUGGACAGUUCCUGACGCUGAGACACGAAGGCCAGGGGAGCAAACGGGAUUAGAUACCCCGGUAGUCCUGGCAGUAAACGGUGCACGUUUGGUGUGGGAGGAUUCGACCCCUUCUGCGCCGGAGCUAACGCGUUAAACGUGCCGCCUGGGGAGUACGGUCGCAAGAUUAAAACUCAAAGAAAUUGACGGGGGCCCGCACAAGCGGUGGAGUAUGUGGCUCAAUUCGAUGCAACGCGAAGAACCUUACCUGGCCUUGACAUGCAUCUCUAAGUUGGUGAAAGCCAGCGAGUCCCGAAAGGGACNAUUCGCUCAG